GAUCUGGUGGUGAAAUGUAUCACAUCCACUCUUACUAUGACUUUGUUCGACAAUGCAUGUGUGGGAAUCCCCAGUUCGAAUCUGGGCCAGGUCA
Molecule: non-coding RNA, 94 nt
Organism: Mycena leptocephala
Lineage: Eukaryota; Fungi; Basidiomycota; Agaricomycetes; Agaricales; Mycenaceae
Source: the annotation of a GenBank genome assembly